AUGACCUUUAAGUUUUGAGUUUUGAACAUCUCCAAAUCUAACAAAACCAAGCAUCUGUUUCUGAAAAAUGUGCUUGGGCAAAAUCCUGGAGGACUUUAGAUGCGCUAUUUGGAUUCGGGUGCAUAUCAAGCUCGUAAAUAUGGUUUGCUCGGAUUCCUAAUAAUUGACGACCUUAGGUACGCAUUGUAGGCUUCGCUCGUCUUUUCAGUUGAUUUAUAAUUAAGCAUGUGCAGAACAGAAAUACUGAAACAAUUUUGUGGAAUGUUUUUAAUUCUAUGCUCUCAGAAUUUUGAUUCAAAAAUUAUGUACUGCGAUCAAUAAAUUUCGACUUGAGUUCCAGAU
Molecule: unclassified non-coding RNA, 342 nt
Filed under: Hevea brasiliensis (rubber tree)
Lineage: Eukaryota; Viridiplantae; Streptophyta; Magnoliopsida; Malpighiales; Euphorbiaceae
Source: RNAcentral